ACUCAAAGGAAUUGACGGGGGCCCGCACAAGCGGCGGAGCGCGUUGCUUAAUUCGAUGCGAAGCGAAGAACCUUACCUGGGUUUGACAUUCCGGAAGUAGGCGCCUGAAAGGGUUGCCCACUCGUAAAGUCGGGAACCGGGACAGGUGUUGCAUGGCUGUCGUCAGCUCGUGCCGUGAGGUGUUGGGUUAAGUCCCGCAACGAGCGCAACCCUCGUCCUAUGUUGCGACCGGGUUAUGCCGAGCACUCAUAGGAGACUGCCGGGGAAACCCCGGAGGAAGGAGAGGACGACGUCAAGUCAGCAUGGCCCUUAAGCCCAGGGCUGCUAACGCGCUACAAUGCGCGGUACAACGGGCUGCAAUCCCGCAAGGGGGAGCCAAUCCCGAAAAGCCGCGCCCAGUUCGGAUCGGGGUCUGCAACCCGACCCCGUGAAGUUGGAGUCGCUAGUAAUGGCAGAUCAGCACGCUGCCGUGAAUGCGUUCUCGGGCCUUGUACACACCGCCCGU
Molecule: ribosomal RNA, 505 nt
Filed under: uncultured bacterium
Lineage: Bacteria
Description: partial 16S ribosomal RNA
Rfam family: Bacterial small subunit ribosomal RNA
Source: RNAcentral